Molecule: ribosomal RNA, 508 nt
Filed under: uncultured bacterium
Lineage: Bacteria
Description: partial 16S ribosomal RNA
Rfam family: Bacterial small subunit ribosomal RNA
Source: RNAcentral
GACGAACGCUGGCGGCGCGCCUAAUACAUGCAAGUCGAACGCUUCUUUCCUCCCGAGUGCUUGCACUCAAUUGGAAAGAGGAGUGGCGGACGGGUGAGUAACACGUGGGUAACCUACCCAUCAGAGGGGGAUAACACUUGGAAACAGGUGCUAAUACCGCAUAACAGUUUAUGCCGCAUGGCAUAAGAGUGAAAGGCGCUUUCGGGUGUCGCUGAUGGAUGGACCCGCGGUGCAUUAGCUAGUUGGUGAGGUAACGGCUCACCAAGGCCACGAUGCAUAGCCGACCUGAGAGGGUGAUCGGCCACACUGGGACUGAGACACGGCCCAGACUCCUACGGGAGGCAGCAGUAGGGAAUCUUCGGCAAUGGACGAAAGUCUGACCGAGCAACGCCGCGUGAGUGAAGAAGGUUUUCGGAUCGUAAAACUCUGUUGUUAGAGAAGAACAAGGACGUUAGUAACUGAACGUCCCCUGACGGUAUCUAACCAGAAAGCCACGGCUAACUACGUG